UCAACCUUCAAAUAAUCAUCUUUAGUUAUGCACUCUAUACUUGGUCGGGAAUCCUUUUGCAGAAAUGACUGCUUCAAUGCGGCGUGGCAUGGAGGCAAUCAGCUUGUGGCUCUGCUGAGGUGUUAUGGAGGCCCAGGAUGCUUCGAUAGCGGUCUUAAGAUCAUCCAGAAUGUUGGGUCUUGCAUCUCUCAACUUUCUCUUCACAAUAUCCCACAGAUUCUCUAUGGGGUUCAGGUCAGGAGAGUUGGCAGGCCAAUUGAGCACAGUAAUACCAUGGUCAGUGAUGCCAGUGGUUUUGAAU
Poecilia latipinna (sailfin molly) is the source of this 301-nucleotide long non-coding RNA. RefSeq lists it as uncharacterized. NCBI's taxonomy places the organism in Eukaryota, Metazoa, Chordata, Actinopteri, Cyprinodontiformes, Poeciliidae. The record is from RefSeq and is a predicted model, not a curated record. The transcript is spliced from 3 exons.